Molecule: ribosomal RNA, 253 nt
Filed under: uncultured bacterium
Lineage: Bacteria
Description: partial 16S ribosomal RNA
Rfam family: Bacterial small subunit ribosomal RNA
Source: RNAcentral
UACGGAGGGAGCGAACGUUGUUCGGAUUCACUGGGCGUAAAGGGAGUCUAGGCGGCUUGGUAAGUCAGGGGUGAAAUCCCGCGGCUCAACCGCGGAGUUGCCUUUGAAACUGCCGAGCUUGAGGCCGUGAGAGGAGACUGGAAUUCCCAGUGUAGCGGUGAAAUGCAUAGAUAUUGGGAAGAACACCAGUGGCGAAGGCGAGUCUCUGGCACGGAUCUGACGCUGAAGCUCGAAAGCUAGGGGAGCAAACGGG